Molecule: ribosomal RNA, 371 nt
Filed under: uncultured bacterium
Lineage: Bacteria
Description: bacterial SSU rRNA
Rfam family: Bacterial small subunit ribosomal RNA
Source: RNAcentral
ACGUAGGGUGCGAGCGUUAAUCGGAAUUACUGGGCGUAAAGCGUGCGCAGGCGGUUCGUUGUGUCUGUGGUGAAAGCCCCGGGCUUAACCUGGGAAUGGCCAUGGAAACUGGCGGACUUGAGUGUGGCAGAGGGGGGUGGAAUUCCGCGUGUAGCAGUGAAAUGCGUAGAGAUGCGGAGGAACACCGAUGGCGAAGGCAGCCCCCUGGGCUAACACUGACGCUCAGGCACGAAAGCGUGGGGAGCAAACAGGAUUAGAUACCCUGGUAGUCCACGCCCUAAACGAUGUCAACUGGGUGUUGGGGAAGCAAUUUCCCAGUACCGUAGCUAACGCGUGAAGUUGACCGCCUGGGGAGUACGGCCGCAAGGUUA